UUGAUCCUGGCUCAGAAUCAACGCUGGCGGCGUGCCUAACACAUGCAAGUCGUACGCGAAAGUCCCGCAAGGGAUGAGUAGAGUGGCAAACGGGUGAGUUACACGUGGGUGACCUGCCUUCGAGUGGGGGAUAACGUCCCGAAAGGGACUCUAAUACCGCAUGACAUCCUGCCUUUAGAAAGGUGGAGAUUAAAGCCGGUGAUCGCAAGACCUGGCGCUUGAAGAGGGGCCCGCGCCUGAUUAGCUAGUUGGUAGGGUAAUGGCCUACCAAGGCUACGAUCAGUAGCCGGCCUGAGAGGUCGGACGGCCACACUGGGACUGAGACACGGCCCAGACUCCUACGGGAGGCUGCAGUGGGGAAUUGUUCGCAAUGGGCGCAAGCCUGACGACGCAACGCCGUGUGGAGGAUGAAGAUUUUCGGAUCGUAAACUCCUGUCGAGCGGGAAGAAUACCUAUCUGGCGAAUAUCCGGGUAGGCUGACGGUACCGCUAAAGGAAGCUCCGGCUAACUCCGUGCCAGCAGCCGCGGUAAUAAGGU
Molecule: ribosomal RNA, 537 nt
Filed under: uncultured Acidobacteriota bacterium
Lineage: Bacteria; Pseudomonadati; Acidobacteriota
Description: bacterial SSU rRNA
Rfam family: Bacterial small subunit ribosomal RNA
Source: RNAcentral